AUGUAUCUUACAACUACACGCCCAAAUAUGAUGUACGUAGUGUGUUUAAUUUCACGUUACAUGGCCAAUCCAAAGGAGGAACACAUGUUGAUUGCUAAAAGAGCAUUGAGGUACUUAAGAGGUACUUUGGAAUUUAGCUUAUUUUAUAGAAGAAGGACUACCUCGAAGCUUUUGGCAUAUACUGACAGUGAUUAUGCAAGAGAUGUUGAUGAUAGAAAGAGUAUUUCAGGGUAUGUGUUUCUCUAUUAAGUGAGGCAGCGGUUUGUUGGAGCUCGAAGAAGCAAGCCAUUGUUACCUUAUCCUCUACUGAAGCUGAAUAUAUUGCGGCAACCUCAUGUGCUUGUCGUUGUGUUUGGAUGAUAAGGGUUCUUGAACAAAUUAGAGAUGAAAAUUGUGAAUGUAUUGAUAUUCUUUGUGACAACAGUUCAUCAAUCAAGCUCUCUAAGAAUCCAGUGAUGCAUCGGAGGACUAAACACAUUGACGUCAGAUAUCAUUAUUUACGCGAUCUUUCAAAUCAGGGAGUGGUAAAGUUGGUUUUCUGUAGAACAAAAGAACAAAUUGCAGACAUUAUGACAAAGCCAUUGAAAUUGGACCAGUUUGUGAAACUUAGGAGGCUACUCGGAAUACAACCACUUGAAAAUUAA
Molecule: non-coding RNA, 644 nt
Organism: Vicia faba (fava bean)
Lineage: Eukaryota; Viridiplantae; Streptophyta; Magnoliopsida; Fabales; Fabaceae
Source: the annotation of a GenBank genome assembly